AUUCAUACCUUGCAGGGGAAAUACCAUGUCAUAAAAAUGGUUCUCCCAAGGGGAGGCUCAUCCAUUGUACUUUGGGUGUGUGGUUGAUUCCUGUGAUUUCCCCAAAUGUGGGGAACUCAGCUGCAUAAUUUGUGGGCCAUUUUGCCAUGUUUUCAAGGACGCCUAGCAC
RNAcentral lists this small nuclear RNA (169 nucleotides) under Pogona vitticeps (central bearded dragon). RNAcentral's name for it is "U1 spliceosomal RNA (ENSPVIG00000002745.1)". It matches the Rfam family "U1 spliceosomal RNA". From Rfam's summary of the family: U1 is a small nuclear RNA (snRNA) component of the spliceosome (involved in pre-mRNA splicing). Its 5' end forms complementary base pairs with the 5' splice junction, thus defining the 5' donor site of an intron. There are significant differences in sequence and secondary structure between metazoan and yeast U1 snRNAs, the latter being much longer (568 nucleotides as compared to 164 nucleotides in human). The record is from RNAcentral. Lineage: Eukaryota; Metazoa; Chordata; Lepidosauria; Squamata; Agamidae.